GAGUGAUGGAUAACUAGGAUAAGUUCAGUUAAUGGGUUUUCUCCCUGGAAGGUGUUUAGUUGGGAUCAACGGUAGGAGGGAACUGUUGUAAAUAUUGAUGGCAAUUAGCUAUGCGAGGAGCUGAGUAGAAUUGGUUGUAUUUCAUUUUCACUUUUUUGCUCUCAAUUUUUCCCCCUUGAACUCCUUAUGGACCUGUUUGAUAAAUAAUUUGUAGACUGAA
Molecule: unclassified non-coding RNA, 220 nt
Filed under: Hevea brasiliensis (rubber tree)
Lineage: Eukaryota; Viridiplantae; Streptophyta; Magnoliopsida; Malpighiales; Euphorbiaceae
Source: RNAcentral